GAUGAACGCUGGCGGCGUGCCUAAUACAUGCAAGUCGAGCGAACGGACGAGAAGCUUGCUUCUCUGAUGUUAGCGGCGGACGGGUGAGUAACACGUGGAUAACCUACCUAUAAGACUGGGAUAACUUCGGGAAACCGGAGCUAAUACCGGAUAAUAUUUUGAACCGCAUGGUUCAAAAGUGAAAGACGGUCUUGCUGUCACUUAUAGAUGGAUCCGCGCUGCAUUAGCUAGUUGGUAAGGUAACGGCUUACCAAGGCAACGAUGCAUAGCCGACCUGAGAGGGUGAUCGGCCACACUGGACCUGAGACACGGUCCAGACUCCUACGGGAGGCAGCAGUAGGGAAUCUUCCGCAAUGGGCGAAAGCCUGACGGAGCAACGCCGCGUGAGUGAUGAAGGUCUUCGGAUCGUAAAACUCUGUUAUUAGGGAAGAACAUAUGUGUAAGUAACUGUGCACAUCUUGACGGUACCUAAUCAGAAAACCACGGCUAACUACGU
RNAcentral lists this ribosomal RNA (496 nucleotides) under uncultured bacterium. RNAcentral describes it as "partial 16S ribosomal RNA". It matches the Rfam family "Bacterial small subunit ribosomal RNA", at positions 28 to 506 of the family's 1533-position model. The record is from RNAcentral.